UCGGGAAUUUUGGGCAAUGGGCGAAAGCCUGACCCAGCAACGCCGCGUGAAGGAUGAAGUAUUUCGGUAUGUAAACUUCGAAAGAAUAGGAAGAAUAAAUGACGGUACUAUUUAUAAGGUCCGGCUAACUACGUGCCAGCAGCCGCGGUAAUACGUAGGGACCAAGCGUUGUUCGGAUUUACUGGGCGUAAAGGGCGCGUAGGCGGCAAUUCAAGUCAUCUGUGAAAUCUCCGGGCUUAACUCGGAACGGUCAGAUGAUACUGCUUUGCUAGAGUGCAGAAGGGGCAAUCGGAAUUCUUGGUGUAGCGGUGAAAUGCGUAGAUAUCAAGAGGAACACCUGAGGUGAAGACGGGUUGCUGGGCUGACACUGACGCUGAGGCGCGAAAGCCAGGGGAGCAAACGGGAUUAGAUACCCUGUAGUCCCUGAGCGGGCUGGCAAGGCGCAU
RNAcentral lists this ribosomal RNA (446 nucleotides) under uncultured bacterium. Its description in RNAcentral is "bacterial SSU rRNA". It matches the Rfam family "Bacterial small subunit ribosomal RNA", at positions 355 to 825 of the family's 1533-position model. The record is from RNAcentral.